CUGUUAGGGCUCUAGGGUAAUAGAUGGGAGCCCCAAAAGGCGCCUGGAGGCACCAGAGUCCAGCAGCGCUGCCUCAGCCGCUCGUCCGCGCCCUAGUGUCCUAUUUCUUUAAAAUAAAAGCUGCGAGCCCUACAAUUACUGGGAUUACAGUGAGCAGGUAUUGAUCUGCAGCCGGCAUUGUAGGAUCAAGCAGGCGGGCGGACGCAGACAUCGCUGCUUCCCACCCCCUUGCCGCCGCCUAGGCCUGCAAAACGCUAAAAAACCAUUUCUAAAUGUUUGAUUUCAAACGCACCAUCAACACCUGCUGCAAAACUGGGAGCUGUUUAUUUAUGGCUGCAAAUGUGUGCGUGCGAGAGAGAGGGAGAAUUGAUCUUUGCCUGGACUUAAAGAUGGAGCCGAAGGCGCUGGAGGGAAUUUGGGUUUACGCGCCUAGCUCAGACCGGGGCGCUGAAGGGGGCCGUUUGGCACGAAGCCCGAGGUCGCUCUUUUCCGCACCCCUCACCUCGCGACCUUUCAGGAAUCUGAGGGGUCCUGAAGCGGCCUGGCUGACCCACCUCCCCGGGGCCGAGCUUCGAGAAAGGCUUCAUGGAGGGAGCCAUCCCGUCCCUGUCUUUAAAAUGAGCGCAAUAAAAGGGGGCAAAUCCUCAAACGUGAACCUGAUCACUUGUCACAGAAGCAACUUGCCAUGAAAUCCGCUAAUGCGCCGCGACUCGCCCACCCGGGCUGGUUCCCGCUUUCUAAAUCUCCCAGGUGGCUUGUUGUCUCUGCAAAUCCAACACAAACGUACUCAGGAUUAUCUCAGGCCACUGUCCUUGCAGCACUGACCAUUAUCUCGAUGGAAGAACGAGCUCCUCUGGUCAGAGAGCAUAAAGCGGCGGCUAAAUUCGUGUCUUUCCCCACCCACCCACCGCACCCUUUAAUGGUGAGAAAAUAUAGGCUUCUCAAAUCCACAGAAGCAACCAAACACACAUUUCCCAAUGUUCUUUGUUUAUAUCGGUUCGGGUGCUGGAAGCUGUCUGACAACGAGCUUUUUCGUUGAGCCUGUUUUAUGCAGAGCACUUGGGAUAUUUUUCAGU
This is a long non-coding RNA of Bos taurus (domestic cattle), 1076 nucleotides long. The record is from Ensembl. Lineage: Eukaryota; Metazoa; Chordata; Mammalia; Artiodactyla; Bovidae.